This 406-nucleotide ribosomal RNA is filed under the name uncultured bacterium. RNAcentral's name for it is "bacterial SSU rRNA". It matches the Rfam family "Bacterial small subunit ribosomal RNA", at positions 355 to 775 of the family's 1533-position model. The record is from RNAcentral.
UGGGGAAUAUUGGGCAAUGGGGGAAACCCUGACCCAGCAACGCCGCGUGAGGGAAGAAGGCCUUCGGGUUGUAAACCUCUGUCCUUGGGGACGAAGGAAGUGACGGUACCCAAGGAGGAAGCUCCGGCUAACUACGUGCCAGCAGCCGCGGUAAUACGUAGGGAGCGAGCGUUGUCCGGAAUUACUGGGCGUAAAGGGUGCGUAGGCGGCCUGUUAAGUCAGAUGUGAAAUACCCGGGCUUAACCCGGGGGGUGCAUCUGAUACUGGCAGGCUUGAGUGCAGGAGAGGAAAGCGGAAUUCCUAGUGUAGCGGUGAAAUGCGUAGAUAUUAGGAGGAACACCAGUGGCGAAGGCGGCUUUCUGGACUGUAACUGACGCUGAGGCACGAAAGCGUGGGGAGCAAACAG